Molecule: non-coding RNA, 89 nt
Organism: Acanthosepion pharaonis
Lineage: Eukaryota; Metazoa; Mollusca; Cephalopoda; Sepiida; Sepiidae
Source: the annotation of a GenBank genome assembly
UCCAAUUUUAAAGAUCACCGAAGUUAAACAACGUCGAGCCUGGUCAGUACUUAGAUGGGUGACCGCUUGGGAAUACCAGAUGCUGUAAG